GUCCUAAAGGGCCGUUGGAGACCACAACGUUGAUAGGCGGGGUGUGUAAGUGCAGCGAUGCAUUGAGCUAACCCGUACUAAUUACCCGUGAGGCUUAACCAUACAACACCCAAGAAGUGUUCU
Molecule: ribosomal RNA, 123 nt
Filed under: Aeromonas veronii
Lineage: Bacteria; Pseudomonadati; Pseudomonadota; Gammaproteobacteria; Aeromonadales; Aeromonadaceae
Description: partial 23S ribosomal RNA
Rfam family: Bacterial large subunit ribosomal RNA (bases 1-102)
Source: RNAcentral